GUUACUUUAACAACCAGGAGGUUGGCUUAGAAGCAGCCAUCCUUUAAAGAAAGCGUAAUAGCUCACUGGUCUAGUGAUUUUGCGCGGAAAAUAUAACGGGGCUAAAAUAAGUACCGAAGCUGUAGACCCAAGCCUAGCUUGGGUGGUAGGAGAGCGUUCUAUAGGCGUUGAAGAUGUACCGGUAAGGAGCGUUGGAGCGUAUAGAAGUGAGCAUGCAGGCAUGAGUAGCGAUAAUUAAUG
This 240-nucleotide ribosomal RNA is filed under the name Campylobacter sp. 2018MI10. Its description in RNAcentral is "partial 23S ribosomal RNA". It matches the Rfam family "Bacterial large subunit ribosomal RNA", at positions 1080 to 1321 of the family's 2925-position model. The record is from RNAcentral. Lineage: Bacteria; Pseudomonadati; Campylobacterota; Epsilonproteobacteria; Campylobacterales; Campylobacteraceae.